Molecule: ribosomal RNA, 1446 nt
Filed under: uncultured organism
Description: SSU rRNA
Rfam family: Bacterial small subunit ribosomal RNA
Source: RNAcentral
AGCUACAGGCUUAACACAUGCAAGUCGAGGGGCAGCAUGGUCUUAGCUUGCUAAGGCCGAUGGCGACCGGCGCACGGGUGAGUAACACGUAUCCAACCUGCCGUCUACUCUUGGACAGCCUUCUGAAAGGAAGAUUAAUACAAGAUGGCAUCAUGAGUCCGCAUGUUCACAUGAUUAAAGGUAUUCCGGUAGACGAUGGGGAUGCGUUCCAUUAGAUAGUAGGCGGGGUAACGGCCCACCUAGUCUUCGAUGGAUAGGGGUUCUGAGAGGAAGGUCCCCCACAUUGGAACUGAGACACGGUCCAAACUCCUACGGGAGGCAGCAGUGAGGAAUAUUGGUCAAUGGGCGAGAGCCUGAACCAGCCAAGUAGCGUGAAGGAUGACUGCCCUAUGGGUUGUAAACUUCUUUUAUAAAGGAAUAAAGUCGGGUAUGGAUACCCGUUUGCAUGUACUUUAUGAAUAAGGAUCGGCUAACUCCGUGCCAGCAGCCGCGGUAAUACGGAGGAUCCGAGCGUUAUCCGGAUUUAUUGGGUUUAAAGGGAGCGUAGAUGGAUGUUUAAGUCAGUUGUGAAAGUUUGCGGCUCAACCGUAAAAUUGCAGUUGAUACUGGACAUCUUGAGUGCAGUUGAGGCAGGCGGAAUUCGUGGUGUAGCGGUGAAAUGCUUAGAUAUCACGAAGAACUCCGAUUGCGAAGGCAGCCUGCUAAGCUGCAACUGACAUUGAGGCUCGAAAGUGUGGGUAUCAAACAGGAUUAGAUACCCUGGUAGUCCACACGGUAAACGAUGAAUACUCGCUGUUUGCGAUAUACGGCAAGCGGCCAAGCGAAAGCGUUAAGUAUUCCACCUGGGGAGUACGCCGGCAACGGUGAAACUCAAAGGAAUUGACGGGGGCCCGCACAAGCGGAGGAACAUGUGGUUUAAUUCGAUGAUACGCGAGGAACCUUACCCGGGCUUAAAUUGCAGAUGAAUUACGGUGAAAGCCGUAAGCCGCAAGGCAUCUGUGAAGGUGCUGCAUGGUUGUCGUCAGCUCGUGCCGUGAGGUGUCGGCUUAAGUGCCAUAACGAGCGCAACCCUUGUUGUCAGUUACUAACAGGUUCCGCUGAGGACUCUGACAAGACUGCCAUCGUAAGAUGUGAGGAAGGUGGGGAUGACGUCAAAUCAGCACGGCCCUUACGUCCGGGGCUACACACGUGUUACAAUGGGGGGUACAGAGGGCCGCUACCACGCGAGUGGAUGCCAAUCCCAAAAACCUCUCUCAGUUCGGACUGGAGUCUGCAACCCGACUCCACGAAGCUGGAUUCGCUAGUAAUCGCGCAUCAGCCACGGCGCGGUGAAUACGUUCCCGGGCCUUGUACACACCGCCCGUCAAGCCAUGGGAGCCGGGGGUACCUGAAGUGCGUAACCGCGAGGAGCGCCCUAGGGUAAAACUGGUGACUGGGGCUAAGUAG